This 1965-nucleotide ribosomal RNA is filed under the name Triticum aestivum (bread wheat). RNAcentral describes it as "partial small subunit ribosomal RNA". The record is from RNAcentral. Lineage: Eukaryota; Viridiplantae; Streptophyta; Magnoliopsida; Poales; Poaceae.
AUGGCGACCAGGCCGGGGCCUUUGACUGAAUGGCCGUGGCAGAGGAUGGGCAACUUCAAGUACCUGGUGAUGGCGCCGGUGGUCGUCCACGGCGCGUACCGGGUGAUGAACAAGGGGUGGGGCGACAUCGACCUGGCCUACUCGCUGAUCCUGCCGUCGCUGGCGCUGCGGAUGAUCCACAACCAGAUCUGGAUCAGCCUGUCCCGCUACCAGACCGCGCGCAGCAAGCACCGCAUCGUGGACCGGGACAUCGAGUUCGAGCAGGUGGACCGCGAGCGCGGAUGGGACGACCAGAUCGUCUUCAACGGGCUGCUCUUCUACGUGGGGUACCUGGCGAUGCCGAGCGUGCGGAGGUUCCCGCUGUGGCGGACGGACGGGGCGGUGGCAACGGCGCUGCUGCACGCGGGGCCCGUGGAGUUCCUCUACUACUGGUUCCACCGCGCGCUGCACCACCACUUCCUCUACUCGCGCUACCACUCCCACCACCACGCCUCCAUCGUCACCGAGCCCAUCACCUCGGUCAUCCAUCCUUUUGGCGAACACAUUGUCUAUUUCACGCUCUUUGCAAUCCCGAUGUUGUCCACAGUUUAUAUGGGAAAUGGCUCCGCCCUCGUGUUUGUGCUGUAUAUCGUUUACAUUGACUUCAUGAACAACAUGGGGCACUGCAACUUUGAGUUGGUGCCAAAGUGGAUGUUCCAAGUCUUUCCUCCUCUCAAGUACCUCAUGUACACCCCAUCGUUUCAUUCCCUUCACCACACGCAGUUCCGCACAAACUAUUCACUCUUCAUGCCAUUUUACGACUACAUAUACAGCACUAUGGACAAGGCAUCUGACGAGCUGUAUGAGAGCUCACUGAAAGGGACAGAGGAGACACCUGACCUUGUUCAUCUCACACAUAUGACCAACUUGCAAUCGGCUUAUCAUCUAAGGGUUGGAUUCGCCUCCAUAGCAUCCAAACCAUCUGAUAACUCCGAGUGGUAUAUGUGGACGCUAUGGCCCUUGGCAUGGCUGUCAAUGGUGGUAGCAUGGAUUUAUGGGUCAUCUGCAUUCGUGGUCGAGAGAAUCAAACUGAAGAAGAUGAAGAUGCAAACAUGGGUCGUACCGAGAUACAACUUCCAAUAUGGUCUAACAUGGGAUAGAGAAUCGAUCAACGACUUAAUUGAAAAGGCGAUAUUGGAUGCUGAUGUAAGAGGGGUUAAGGUGCUCAGCCUAGGGCUACUAAAUCAGGCAAAACAGCUCAAUGGGAAUGGUGAACUAUUUAGACAAAAAUACCCAAAAUUAGGAGUUCGAAUUGUUGAUGGAAGUGGCUUAGCAACUGGAGUUGUCCUAAAAAGCAUCCCUUCAGAUGCAAAGCAAGUUUUUCUUCAUACAGGGACUUCUAAGAUAGCCCGUGCCGUUGCUAUGGCUUUAUGUGGCAAGGGCAUCCAGGUGAUCAUGAAUCGUAAGAAAGAGUAUGACAUGCUCAAGUCACAGAUGCCAGAGAACAGAGCAAGCUACUUGAAGUGCUCCAGCAAUGACAUAACCAAGAUUUGGCUAGUAGAGAGGAUCGACGACAAAGAACAGAGGAUGGCACCAAAAGGAACAGUGUUCAUUCCAAUAUCGCAGUUCCCCCUUAAGAAAGUCCGCAAGGACUGCACUUACUUGAGCACUCCGGCGAUGAAGAUCCCGGACACCAUGCAGAACAUCCACUCCUGCGAGAACUGGCUGCCGAGAAGGGUGAUGAGCGCGUGGCAUAUCGCCGGAAUACUUCACGUCCUGGAAGGGUGGAGCGUGCACGAGUGCGGUGACGACAUGAUGGACCCUGAGAAGGCAUGGUCGGCUGCUAUCAGAUGGUACUACCGAGAAUUUAUGCUAAAACCGCAGCCUUUUUUUCUUUUCUUUCGGGAACACGCAGGAGAUCUGUUUGGUCGGACAGCUAAGUCUGUAAGAUUUAUCAGUGUGAACAUCGAACAUCAAUGCCAUUAA